Molecule: ribosomal RNA, 472 nt
Filed under: uncultured Arcobacter sp.
Lineage: Bacteria; Pseudomonadati; Campylobacterota; Epsilonproteobacteria; Campylobacterales; Arcobacteraceae
Description: bacterial SSU rRNA
Rfam family: Bacterial small subunit ribosomal RNA
Source: RNAcentral
GACGGGACCCGCACAAGCGGUGGAGCAUGUGGUUUAAUUCGACGAUACGCGAAGAACCUUACCUGGCCUUGACAUACUAAAAAGCUUUAAGAGAUUAGAGUGUGCUAGCUUGCUAGAAUUUAGAUACAGGUGCUGCACGGCUGUCGUCAGCUCGUGUCGUGAGAUGUUGGGUUAAGUCCCGCAACGAGCGCAACCCUCGUGUUUAGUUGCUAACAGUUCGGCUGAGAACUCUAAACAGACUGCCUACGCAAGUAAGAGGAAGGUGAGGACGACGUCAAGUCAUCAUGGCCCUUACGGCCAGGGCUACACACGUGCUACAAUGGGGUAUACAAAGAGCAGCGAUACGGUGACGUGGAGCAAAUCUAGAAAAUGCCUCUCAGUUCGGAUUGUAGUCUGCAACUCGACUACAUGAAGUUGGAAUCGCUAGUAAUCGCGCAUCAGCCAUGGCGCGGUGAAUACGUUCCCGGGCCUU